This is a long non-coding RNA of Scophthalmus maximus (turbot), 650 nucleotides long. RefSeq lists it as uncharacterized. The record is from RefSeq and is a predicted model, not a curated record. The transcript is spliced from 3 exons. NCBI's taxonomy places the organism in Eukaryota, Metazoa, Chordata, Actinopteri, Pleuronectiformes, Scophthalmidae.
UUUACUAUAUCAAGGUUUGAAAUUCUGCAUAAUUAGGGGCGUGGAUACUUGAGUGACAGGUGACGCCGCUGUUUGGUAGCCGCUCGGUGGUAGCUAGCCGCUAGCAGCACUAGCUGUCACCUGAGCUAAUCCCCGGUCAGUGAAUGGGACUUCUCGACCACGGUGUCGGAGUCUUGCGGAGAACAUUUCAAGCUACUACCAGAUGGAAAAUACGCCUGCUCUGCGGUCAGUCGUCCCAACAGAGAAGUCCAAGAAGCUGGCGCUCCUGUUGUUUCGGGAAGGACCUGCGUGAAGGACUCCACUGUGCUGACCAUGUUCUGUCUCCAAGAGCAAAGAAGAAAAAUUAGUUGUCGUCACCACAGUGGAUGAUGAGGACGUCAGCUGUUGCUCUUCCUCACGGAGUGGAAACAGAGUGGAAGAAGACUUUUCCAGUGAUAAAUGCUCCAGAUAAAUGCUACAUCUGUAGGAUAAAAUGGAACUAUAGAGCUAAAUCUCAGAAUAUAGAUGAGUAUCUAAUACUUUAUAUGUAGACAGACUAUAUAACUGUAAAGUCAAGCAGCCACGACUGGUACUGGUUUGUUUUGUGCAGCUAGUGGAAGCAUCACAGGUGAACUCAACAACAACCAAUGUGCUGAAAGUAAUAAACAUCU